Molecule: non-coding RNA, 143 nt
Organism: Gossypium hirsutum (cotton)
Lineage: Eukaryota; Viridiplantae; Streptophyta; Magnoliopsida; Malvales; Malvaceae
Source: Rfam
UAUUAAAUUUUUCAUUCAUUUGUUAUGUUAAAAACUGGCAUGGCUGACGGAACAAAAAACAGUGAUACAUGGCAUGCUAGUAUGUCUCAUGCUUAUGUACAAUGAUCAAAUUUUAACAGUAAAAAUGGAUGGAACUUUUAAUA